CCUACGGGUGGCAGCAGUGAGGAAUAUUGGUCAAUGGACGAGAGUCUGAACCAGCCAAGUAGCGUGAAGGAUGACUGCCCUAUGGGUUGUAAACUUCUUUUAUAUGGGAAUAAAAUGUUCCACGUGUGGGAUUUUGUAUGUACCAUAUGAAUAAGGAUCGGCUAACUCCGUGCCAGCAGCCGCGGUAAUACGGAGGAUCCGAGCGUUAUCCGGAUUUAUUGGGUUUAAAGGGAGCGUAUGUGGAUUGUUAAGUCAGUUGUGAAAGUUUGCGGCUCAACCGUAAAAUUGCAGUUGAAACUGGCAGUCUUGAGUACAGUAGAGGUGGGCGGAAUUCGUGGUGUAGCGGUGAAAUGCUUAGAUAUCACGAAGAACUCCGAUUGCGAAGGCAGUUCACUGGACUGCAACUGACACUGAGGCUCGAAAGUGUGGGUAUCAAACAGGAUUAGAUACCCGAGUAGUC
This 460-nucleotide ribosomal RNA is filed under the name uncultured bacterium. RNAcentral's name for it is "partial 16S ribosomal RNA". It matches the Rfam family "Bacterial small subunit ribosomal RNA", at positions 338 to 795 of the family's 1533-position model. The record is from RNAcentral.